UGAGGAAUAUUGGUCAAUGGACGAGAGUCUGAACCAGCCAAGUAGCGUGCAGGAUGACGGCCCUAUGGGUUGUAAACUGCUUUUGUUUGGGAAUAAUCGACAUUACGUGUAAUGUUUUGCAUGUACCAUUCGAAUAAGGACCGGCUAAUUCCGUGCCAGCAGCCGCGGUAAUACGGAAGGUCCAGGCGUUAUCCCGAUUUAUUGGGUUUAAAGGGAGUGUAGGCGGUUGGUUAAGCGUGUUGUGAAAUGUAGAUGCUCAACAUCUGACUUGCAGCGCGAACUGGCUGACUUGAGUACACACAAAGUAGGCGGAAUUCAUGGUGUAGCGGUGAAAUGCUUAGAUAUCAUGACGAACUCCGAUUGCGCAGGCAGCUUACUGUAGCAUAACUGACGCUGAUGCUCGAAAGUGCGGGUAUCAAACAGG
This 424-nucleotide ribosomal RNA is filed under the name Verrucomicrobiota bacterium. RNAcentral's name for it is "Verrucomicrobia bacterium partial 16S ribosomal RNA". It matches the Rfam family "Bacterial small subunit ribosomal RNA", at positions 355 to 776 of the family's 1533-position model. The record is from RNAcentral. Lineage: Bacteria; Pseudomonadati; Verrucomicrobiota.